UCCCAGGUAGCUCAGUGGUAAAGAAUCUGCCUGCUAAGCAGGACACUUGGGUUCAAUUCCUGCAUCGGGAA
This 71-nucleotide transfer RNA is filed under the name Bos taurus (domestic cattle). It matches the Rfam family "tRNA". From Rfam's summary of the family: Transfer RNA (tRNA) molecules are approximately 80 nucleotides in length. Lineage: Eukaryota; Metazoa; Chordata; Mammalia; Artiodactyla; Bovidae. RNAcentral also lists the same sequence under 3 other names. The record is from Rfam by way of RNAcentral.